This 256-nucleotide ribosomal RNA is filed under the name Klebsiella pneumoniae. Its description in RNAcentral is "partial 16S ribosomal RNA". It matches the Rfam family "Bacterial small subunit ribosomal RNA", at positions 89 to 348 of the family's 1533-position model. Lineage: Bacteria; Pseudomonadati; Pseudomonadota; Gammaproteobacteria; Enterobacterales; Enterobacteriaceae. The record is from RNAcentral.
UGACGAGCGGCGGACGGGUGAGUAAUGUCUGGGAAACUGCCUGAUGGAGGGGGAUAACUACUGGAAACGGUAGCUAAUACCGCAUAACGUCGCAAGACCAAAGUGGGGGACCUUCGGGCCUCAUGCCAUCAGAUGUGCCCAGAUGGGAUUAGCUAGUAGGUGGGGUAAUGGCUCACCUAGGCGACGAUCCCUAGCUGGUCUGAGAGGAUGACCAGCCACACUGGAACUGAGACACGGUCCAGACUCCUACGGGAGG